AGCAGCCGCGGUAAUUCCAGCUCCAAUAGCGUAUAUUAAAGUUGUUGCAGUUAAAAAAGCUCGUAGUUGAAUUUCGGAAUCGACGGAUUGGUCGCGCCUUCGGUGUGUACUGGUCUUGCCGGUUUCUCCCUUCUGACGAACCACGAUGUCAUUAAUUUGGUGUCGUGGGGAAUCAGGACUGUUACUUUGAAAAAUUAGAGUGUUUAAAGCAGGCAUUAGCUUGAAUACAUUAGCAUGGAAUAAUGAAAUAGGACGUUUGAUCUUAUUUUGUUGGUUUCUAGGAUCGACGUAAUGAUUAAUAGGGAUAGUUGGGGGCAUUAGUAUUCAAUUGUCAGAGGUGAAAUUCUUGGAUUUAUUGAAGACUAACUACUGCGAAAGCAUUUGCCAAGGAUGUUUUCAUUAAUCAAGAACGAAAGUUAGGGGAUCGAAGACGAUCAGAUACCGUCGUAGUCUUAACCAUAAACUAUGCCGACUAGGGAUCGAAUGAUGUUUAAUUUUUAAUGUACUCUA
Molecule: ribosomal RNA, 510 nt
Filed under: uncultured Glomeraceae
Lineage: Eukaryota; Fungi; Glomeromycota; Glomeromycetes; Glomerales; Glomeraceae
Description: SSU rRNA
Rfam family: Eukaryotic small subunit ribosomal RNA
Source: RNAcentral